CCUACGGGGGGCUGCAGUGGGGAAUAUUGGGCAAUGGGCGCAAGCCUGACCCAGCAACGCCGCGUGAAGGAAGAAGGCUUUCGGGUUGUAAACUUCUUUUCGCAGGGACGAAGGAAGUGACGGUACCGGAGGAAUAAGCCACGGCUAACUACGUGACAGCAGCCGCGGUAAUACGUAGGUGGCAAGCGUUAUCCGGAUUUACUGGGUGUAAAGGGCGGGUAGGCGGGAAAGCAAGUCAGAUGGGAAAACCCUGGGCUCAACCUGUGGCCUGCAUUUGAAACUGUUUUUCUUGAGUACUGGAGAGGCAGCCGGAAUUCCUAGUGUAGCGGUGAAAUGCGUAGAUAUUAGGAGGAACACCAGUGGCGAAGGCGGUCUGCUGGACAGCAACUGACGCUGAGGCGCGAAAGCGUGGGGAGCAAACAGGAUUAGAUACCCGGGUAGUC
RNAcentral lists this ribosomal RNA (443 nucleotides) under uncultured bacterium. RNAcentral describes it as "partial 16S ribosomal RNA". It matches the Rfam family "Bacterial small subunit ribosomal RNA", at positions 338 to 795 of the family's 1533-position model. The record is from RNAcentral.